GGUGUAUUUCAGGGGUAGAGUGUGUUCCUUGCAGGUACAAGGCCCUGGGUUCAAUCCCCAGCACC
Molecule: transfer RNA, 65 nt
Filed under: Heterocephalus glaber (naked mole-rat)
Lineage: Eukaryota; Metazoa; Chordata; Mammalia; Rodentia; Bathyergidae
Rfam family: tRNA
About the family: Transfer RNA (tRNA) molecules are approximately 80 nucleotides in length. Their secondary structure includes four short double-helical elements and three loops (D, anti-codon, and T loops). Further hydrogen bonds mediate the characteristic L-shaped molecular structure. tRNAs have two regions of fundamental functional importance: the anti-codon, which is responsible for specific mRNA codon recognition, and the 3' end, to which the tRNAs corresponding amino acid is attached (by aminoacyl-tRNA synthetases). tRNAs cope with the degeneracy of the genetic code in two manners: having more than one tRNA (with a specific anti-codon) for a particular amino acid; and 'wobble' base-pairing, i.e. permitting non-standard base-pairing at the 3rd anti-codon position.
Source: Rfam by way of RNAcentral